CAGUCGCCGCGGUAACACAGAGGGUGCAAGCGUUAAUCGGAAUUACUGGGCGUAAAGCGCGCGUAGGUGGUUUGUUAAGUUGGAUGUGAAAGCCCCGGGCUCAACCUGGGAACUGCAUCCAAAACUGGCAAGCUAGAGUACGGUAGAGGGUGGUGGAAUUUCCUGUGCAGCGGUGAAAUGCGUAGAUAUAGGAAGGAACACCAGUGGCGAAGGCGACCACCUGGACUGAUACUGACACUGAGGUGCGAAAGCGUGGGGAGCAAACAGGAUUAGAUACCCGGGUAGUCCCUGUCUCUUAUAC
This 301-nucleotide ribosomal RNA is filed under the name uncultured bacterium. RNAcentral's name for it is "partial 16S ribosomal RNA". It matches the Rfam family "Bacterial small subunit ribosomal RNA", at positions 509 to 807 of the family's 1533-position model. The record is from RNAcentral.